RNAcentral lists this ribosomal RNA (390 nucleotides) under uncultured eukaryote. Its description in RNAcentral is "partial small subunit ribosomal RNA". It matches the Rfam family "Eukaryotic small subunit ribosomal RNA", at positions 587 to 972 of the family's 1831-position model. The record is from RNAcentral.
AGCUCCAAGAGUGUAUAUUAAAGUUGUUGCGGUUAAAAAGCUCGUAGUUGGACCUUGGGAUUGAGUACAUCGGUUCCCCUUGACUUCGUGUCUUGGGGGUUACAAUCGAGUAAUUCUUUCUCUAUUCUCGGAACGUUCACGGCCAGCAAUGGUCGGUUUCGUAGGAUUUACUUUGAAUAAAUUAGGGUGUUUAAAGCAGGCUGAAAAGCCUUGAAUACAUUAGCAUGGGAUAAUAAAAGAUGACCUUUGGUCUGUACUUUAUUGGUUUCUGGGGCCUUGGUAAUGAUUGAUAGGGACAGUUGAGGUCGCUCGUAUUCAGUGGUCAGAGGUGAAAUUCUAAGACCCACUGAGGACGAACUAAUGCGAAGGCAUUCGACAAGGAUGUUUUCA